This 254-nucleotide ribosomal RNA is filed under the name uncultured bacterium. Its description in RNAcentral is "partial 16S ribosomal RNA". It matches the Rfam family "Bacterial small subunit ribosomal RNA", at positions 524 to 776 of the family's 1533-position model. The record is from RNAcentral.
UACGGGGGGAGCAAGCGUUGUUCGGAUUUACUGGGCGUAAAGGGCGCGCAGGCGGCUGCUCAAGUCAGGCGUGAAAGGCCUGGGCUCAACCCGGGAAUUGCGCUUGAGACUGGGCUGGCUUGAGUGCGGGAGAGGAUGGUGGAAUUCCCAGUGUAGAGGUGAAAUUCGUAGAUAUUGGGAAGAACACCGGUGGCGAAGGCGGCCAUCUGGACCGCAACUGACGCUGAGGCGCGAAAGCGUGGGGAGCAAACAGG